ACGCUGGCGGCGUGCCUAAUACAUGCAAGUAGAACGCUGAAGAGAGGAGCUUGCUCUUCUUGGAUGAGUUGCGAACGGGUGAGUAACGCGUAGGUAACCUGCCUUGUAGCGGGGGAUAACUAUUGGAAACGAUAGCUAAUACCGCAUAACAAUGGAUGACACAUGUCAUUUAUUUGAAAGGGGCAAUUGCUCCACUACAAGAUGGACCUGCGUUGUAUUAGCUAGUAGGUGAGGUAACGGCUCACCUAGGCGACGAUACAUAGCCGACCUGAGAGGGUGAUCGGCCACACUGGGACUGAGACACGGCCCAGACUCCUACGGGAGGCAGCAGUAGGGAAUCUUCGGCAAUGGGGGCAACCCUGACCGAGCAACGCCGCGUGAGUGAAGAAGGUUUUCGGAUCGUAAAGCUCUGUUGUAAGUCAAGAGCGAGUGUGAGAGUGGAAAGUUCACACUGUGACGGUAGCUUACCAGAAAGGGACGGCUAACUACGUGCCAGCAGCCGCGGUAAUACGUAGGUCCCGAGCGUUGUCCGGAUUUAUUGGGCGUAAAGCGAGCGCAGGCGGUUUGAUAAGUCUGAAGUUAAAGGCUGUGGCUCAACCAUAGUUCGCUUUGGAAACUGUCAAACUUGAGUGCAGAAGGGGAGAGUGGAAUUCCAUGUGUAGCGGUGAAAUGCGUAGAUAUAUGGAGGAACACCGGUGGCGAAAGCGGCUCUCUGGUCUGUAACUGACGCUGAGGCUCGAAAGCGUGGGGAGCGAACAGGAUUAGAUACCCUGGUAGUCCACGCCGUAAACGAUGAGUGCUAGGUGUUGGAUCCUUUCCGGGAUUCAGUGCCGCAGCUAACGCAUUAAGCACUCCGCCUGGGGAGUACGACCGCAAGGUUGAAACUCAAAGGAAUUGACGGGGGCCCGCA
Molecule: ribosomal RNA, 910 nt
Filed under: uncultured bacterium
Lineage: Bacteria
Description: bacterial SSU rRNA
Rfam family: Bacterial small subunit ribosomal RNA
Source: RNAcentral